GAGCAGCAGCAGUCUCCCGCGCCGUCGACUCCGCGCCAUGCCCGACAUCCGCGAGCUCCCCCCAGUGCUGCCACUGUGGUUGGCGCGGUGCGCAUGCCCCUACGUGCCCGUUCAAGUAAACGUGCCGUACAACUGUAUCAUAGCUUUCCUCGUCGCUCUACCAUGUGAGUGUCUUGCCUAUCUUUGUUUCCUUCUUCGCGAUCGCCACCCCUUGCCCCGCCACCACUCUUCGCCGGCGCCUGCCCCCCUCCGCGCUGUGCGCUCCGUCUCCGUGUCUCCUCUCGCUUCGCAUCCCAUGACAGAGCGCUGACACAAACGUCCUCACACAGCUGUCUCUUCUAUAAUCGACCAUUGCUCUCGCCGUUCGAUCAUGCAAGACAUCGCCCUGUAUCACCACCCUAUAGCAUGCCGAGCUCCAUGCUCCCCUAUUCGUAUUCGAUCGCGUAUUGACGCAACGCUGCUGCCGCUGUACGAGAAGCUAUCGUAAUGGAGGAAGGAAGGAGAGUCC
RNAcentral lists this long non-coding RNA (508 nucleotides) under Ganoderma lucidum. Its description in RNAcentral is "long non-coding RNA (GLUC_LNC000006)". Lineage: Eukaryota; Fungi; Basidiomycota; Agaricomycetes; Polyporales; Polyporaceae. The record is from RNAcentral.